RNAcentral lists this ribosomal RNA (253 nucleotides) under uncultured bacterium. Its description in RNAcentral is "partial 16S ribosomal RNA". It matches the Rfam family "Bacterial small subunit ribosomal RNA", at positions 524 to 776 of the family's 1533-position model. The record is from RNAcentral.
UACGGGGGGGGCAAGCGUUGUUCGGAAUUACUGGGCGUAAAGGGCUCGUAGGCGGCCAACUAAGUCCGACGUGAAAUCCCAAAGCUUAACUUUGGAACUGCGUCGGAUACUGGAUGGCUUGAAUUCGGGAGAGGGAUGCAGAAUUCCAGGUGUAGCGGUGAAAUGCGUAGAUAUCUGGAGGAACACCGGUGGCGAAGGCGGCAUCCUGGACCGGUAUUGACGCUGAGGCGCGAAAGCCAGGGGAGCAAACGGG